Molecule: ribosomal RNA, 670 nt
Filed under: Pseudomonas sp. 865 IB
Lineage: Bacteria; Pseudomonadati; Pseudomonadota
Description: bacterial SSU rRNA
Rfam family: Bacterial small subunit ribosomal RNA
Source: RNAcentral
GGGGGACAACGUUUCGAAAGGAACGACUAAUACCGCAUACGUCCUACGGGAGAAAGCAGGGGACCUUCGGGCCUUGCGCUAUCAGAUGAGCCUAGGUCGGAUUAGCUAGUUGGUGGGGUAAUGGCUCACCAAGGCGACGAUCCGUAACUGGUCUGAGAGGAUGAUCAGUCACACUGGAACUGAGACACGGUCCAGACUCCUACGGGAGGCAGCAGUGGGGAAUAUUGGACAAUGGGCGAAAGCCUGAUCCAGCCAUGCCGCGUGUGUGAAGAAGGUCUUCGGAUUGUAAAGCACUUUAAGUUGGGAGGAAGGGCAGUAAGCUUAAUACCUUGCUGUUUUGACGUUACCGACAGAAUAAGCACCGGCUAACUCUGUGCCAGCAGCCGCGGUAAUACAGAGGGUGCAAGCGUUAAUCGGAAUUACUGGGCGUAAAGCGCGCGUAGGUGGUUCGUUAAGUUGGAUGUGAAAGCCCCGGGCUCAACCUGGGAACUGCAUCCAAAACUGGCGAGCUAGAGUACGGUAGAGGGUGGUGGAAUUCCUGUGUAGCGGUGAAAUGCGUAGAUAUAGGAAGGAACACCAGUGGCGAAGGCGACCACCUGGACUGAUACUGACACUGAGGUGCGAAAGCGUGGGGAGCAACAGGAUUAGAUACCCUGGUAUUCCCGCCGUA